GCCUCCUUCCACGCGGUGGUUCUGCUUGGCAGUUUCUUUCUUUUUUUUUUUUUUAAUGUUUAUUUAUUUUUGAGACAGAGAGAGACAGAGCAUGAACGGGGGAGGGUCAGAGAGAGAGGGAGACACAGAAUCCGAAGCAGGCUCCAGGCUCUGAGCUGUCAGCACAGAGCCCGACGCGGGGCUCAAACUCACGGACCGUGGGAUCAUGACCUGAGCUGAAGUCGGACGCUUAACCGACUGAGCCACCCAGGUGCCCCCUGCUUGGCAGUUUCUAUUGUCAAACAGCAUAUAAAAGAAUCUGGAGCCAGGUCAGAUACAAGUACCUUUUUUUCUUUUUUUGCAAGGGGGCUGUCGUUCACCCAUAAAAUCCAAAGUCCCAGGCUGGAAUUUCUUGUGGACCAAAGGCUCUGCUCUUCAUCCACCAUGGAAGUGGGUGAGGAAGGCUCCAUUACCCAGCUUUGGCCAUCCCGUGAGCAUACGGCCCAAGGUUGGACUGCACACCCCGUCCCAGGUCCUUCCUGCAGAGCCGGGCCCCCUGGUCACUGCCCCAGAUCUCCAAGACCUUCGAUUGAGCUGGGUCCCAGCACCUGGACUCAAGUUCCGAUGAGGAACUCGGGUUGCAAAAAUGCUGACUGCAAACCAAAGCUAGUGGCCGGCCUCGUCACCGGGAGCCUGGUGGAAAUGCACGUUCUCAGACCUCAGCACACAGCUUCUGAAUCAGAAUCUGCAUUGUAACAGGAUCCCCAGGACAUCUGUCGGCACAUGAAGGUUUAAUAAGCACUCGUCCACAGCAUCGGAUUCUGGGUGCCCGAGGGGCUCAGUCUUGAGGUCCUGAGCGUCCGACUUCGGUUUAGCUCAUGAUCUCCUGCUUUCUGAGUUCAAGCCCCGCAUCGGGCUCUUUGCUGUCAGCACAGAACCCACUUUGGGUCCUCUGUCUCCCUCUCUCUCUGUCUCUCUGUGUCUCUCAAGAAUAAAUAAACAGGAAAAAAUAAUAAUAGAGCA
This 1002-nucleotide long non-coding RNA is filed under the name Felis catus (domestic cat). RNAcentral describes it as "lncRNA (ENSFCAG00000050365.1)". The record is from RNAcentral. Lineage: Eukaryota; Metazoa; Chordata; Mammalia; Carnivora; Felidae.